GACAUAGGGGGCAAGCGUUAUCCGGAAUAACUGGGCGUAAAGCGAGUGCAGGCGGUUUUGUAAGUUGAAGGUGAAAGCCCGGGGCUUAACCCCGGAAUUGCCUUCAAAACUACAUUACUAGAGUGUGGGAGAGGAAGAUGGAAUUCCAAGUGUAGCAGUGAAAUGCGUAGAUAUUUGGAGGAACAUCAGCGGCGAAGGCGAUCUUCUGGAACACAACUGACGCUCAGACUCGAAAGCGUGGGGAGCAAAC
RNAcentral lists this ribosomal RNA (250 nucleotides) under uncultured prokaryote. RNAcentral describes it as "partial 16S ribosomal RNA". It matches the Rfam family "Bacterial small subunit ribosomal RNA", at positions 524 to 773 of the family's 1533-position model. The record is from RNAcentral.